GUGUACAUGCGUUCAGGUUCUAAGCGCUGCUUGCAGAAAUAGUCAACUUGAGCGGGAGUUUGAAUUCCUCCUUUAUUUAGCUCAUUUUCAGACUUACUUCAAGUUUCUUCAAUCCCAAACGUUGUCAAGAGUUCUAUGGAGUUGCAGUUAGUCAGGGUCGUCAGACAGAUGACGUCACACUAAAAUAUUCCUAAAUCUGGUGAGAAAUAUGCAAGUUGCAGAUAUGGAGGAGAUGUGGCAGCUCUGGACCACACACAGUCAUGAUGUCAUGGCAAAACUGUGCACACAAAGUCAUGAUGUCAUCACAGAGCUGUGGAGGGUGUGGGACUUGGUACAGCAGUCAGUGGUUGCUAUGUUGGGUGUCCUAUUGCAGGUGGCUGAGGCACACUCUACAAGAGACAAUGUCUGGGGACUGAGGCUUGCUGUAGGUUUUGCAGUGGUACUGCUGAUGGCCAUGAUGUUUAGGAUAGUCUUUCAUGUUUCACAGGAGGGUGAGUUUUGAACAGCAGUAGAAAUGAAAACUUAAGGUAA
Long non-coding RNA from Branchiostoma floridae (Florida lancelet), 531 nucleotides. RefSeq lists it as uncharacterized. NCBI's taxonomy places the organism in Eukaryota, Metazoa, Chordata, Leptocardii, Amphioxiformes, Branchiostomatidae. The record is from RefSeq and is a predicted model, not a curated record. The transcript has 4 exons.